GAUGAACGCUGGCGGCGUGCCUAAUACAUGCGAGUCGAGCGAACGGACGAGAAGCUUGCUUCUCUGAUGUUAGCGGCGGACGGGUGAGUAACACGUGGAUAACCUACCUAUAAGACUGGGAUAACUUCGGGAAACCGUAGCUAAUACCGGAUAAUAUUUUGAACCGCAUGGUUCAAAAGUGAAAGACGGUCUUGCUGUCACUUAUAGAUGGAUCCGCGCUGCAUUAGCUAGUUGGUAAGGUAACGGCUUACCAAGGCAACGAUGCAUAGCCGACCUGAGAGGGUGAUCGGCCACACUGGAACUGAGACACGGUCCAGACUCCUACGGGAGGCAGCAGUAGGGAAUCUUCCGCAAUGGGCGAAAGCCUGACGGAGCAACGCCGCGUGAGUGAUGAAGGUCUUCGGAUCGUAAAACUCUGUUAUUAGGGAAGAACAUAUGUGUAAGUAACUGUGCACUUCUUGACGGUACCUAAUCAGAAAGCCACGGCUAACUACGAG
RNAcentral lists this ribosomal RNA (497 nucleotides) under uncultured bacterium. RNAcentral's name for it is "partial 16S ribosomal RNA". It matches the Rfam family "Bacterial small subunit ribosomal RNA", at positions 28 to 507 of the family's 1533-position model. The record is from RNAcentral.